ACAACCAUGAUGGAAAACAAUUACAGAUAAUGAGAUGAUUAAGGACAUAUUUAUUUUGCGCCACCUGAGGCACUGUAGAGUUUUAAUAGUUGGAUAGUGGGUCUUGAACUUAGGAGAAAAAGACUUAAGGUGUAAGAUUAGAAAUACUAGCUCUACCCUUUGCCAAUUGUUUGAUCUAGAACAUGAUUAUUCAUUUCUGAAUCUCAGUUUUAUACUCUUAAAAAUAAAUGGAACAGAUAACUAAUGAGAUACUAUAUGUGAAGUUGGCUAGCACUGCACCUGAGGUUUUAGUUAUAUCCUUUGUCUUUCUUUCCAUUUCAUUCCUCCUCUUCUCUUUCCCAUACCAUAUAGUGUAACCAUCAUUGGUGUUAGAGACAAAAAUAAUUUCUUUUAAAUCCUGAUUCCAUCACUUAUUAAUAAUGUGACCUUUACUUAAACUCCAGGAAAUUUUGUUUUAUCAUCAACUAUAAAGUAAGCAUGCAACCAUGUGUUGGUUUUGCCAGGAUUAAGUAAAGAUUUAAUUAUUGUUUAGUAUUUAUUACUAUGAUUUUAAUAAUAUGCCAGGA
Molecule: long non-coding RNA, 566 nt
Filed under: Homo sapiens (human)
Lineage: Eukaryota; Metazoa; Chordata; Mammalia; Primates; Hominidae
Description: HSALNT0200205
Source: RNAcentral